This 306-nucleotide unclassified non-coding RNA is filed under the name Hevea brasiliensis (rubber tree). The record is from RNAcentral. Lineage: Eukaryota; Viridiplantae; Streptophyta; Magnoliopsida; Malpighiales; Euphorbiaceae.
CUGGCAGGAGAAGAGACAGGAGAUUUGGCAGGUGAUGCAGAGGGCUGUGUUGUUUUAGAUGGCGAAGGGGCAGGCGCAUUGUCUGCAUGUACAAUAAAAGAAAAAGUAAAAGCAAGGAAAAUGAGUAGAAAGAGUCUCUGCAACAUAUUGAGUGGGCGUUUAUGGAAUCGGCAACAAUUGAUAAAUGGAAAGCGGGAAGUGUUUUGGCUUUUGCUGGAGUAGUGGAGAUGAAGGGUUCAAAGAGAUCGGAAGGGGGGAUAUAUAGAGCGGAGAGACAAACGUGGUGGUUCUGGUCGCUGGUGAAGG